GGCUGUAACUCAGUGGCAGAGCGCUUGCUUAGCAUGCAUGAGGCACUGGGUUUGAUCCUCAGCACCA
RNAcentral lists this transfer RNA (67 nucleotides) under Marmota monax (woodchuck). Its description in RNAcentral is "tRNA.Ala". Lineage: Eukaryota; Metazoa; Chordata; Mammalia; Rodentia; Sciuridae. The record is from RNAcentral.